UGCGCUUAACCACAAGCUGUCAAUCCAACCAGUGUGCCCUUGCCCUUAAGCAUAACCUAACCUGAAUAAUCCUAUUUGUUUUCAUUUCUCCAUAGCCUAUAACUUUGGUCAAGUACUGUUGUGGGUUAAGGAAAUUGUGCAUAAAGACUGCUCUCCUCAUUCACAUCAAAAAUAAAUAGUGGAGAGAAGAACUUGCAAGCCGCUGGCUCCUUCGGAUGCCCCUUCAGUCGCCAUGGGCCAAUUACAGUGGUGGAGACAGACACAAUGAAGCUGGCCAGAGCUCUGCCAAGUCCCCGCUGCUCUCUGUCCCAAAGGCAGAUCAAGUCACACACAGAGAAGCAUGUUACAACUCACACUCAAAGCAUUGCAAUUCUAGCCCACAGCUGGGGAGAUAAAUGCCAGCCAGCCACUGUGACGAGCACAUUCAUUUCCUAUAUAAAGAAUCCCAGGGAUUAAACGGGGACUCAGUGCUGGUGAUAUUCUUGAGCAAAGGGGGGGAGAGAACUCCUUGUUGGGAUAAAUGGGAAGGCGGUCAGAA
Molecule: long non-coding RNA, 538 nt
Organism: Xenopus tropicalis (tropical clawed frog)
Lineage: Eukaryota; Metazoa; Chordata; Amphibia; Anura; Pipidae
Exons: 2
Source: RefSeq, a predicted model, not a curated record